Molecule: ribosomal RNA, 465 nt
Filed under: uncultured bacterium
Lineage: Bacteria
Description: partial 16S ribosomal RNA
Rfam family: Bacterial small subunit ribosomal RNA
Source: RNAcentral
CUACGGGAUGCAGCAGUGGGGAAUAUUGGACAAUGGGGGAAACCCUGAUCCAGCAAUGCCGCGUGUGUGAAGAAGGCCUGCGGGUUGUAAAGCACUUUCGGUUGGGAGGACUGCUUCUAGCACUAAUAUUGUUGGAAGUUGACGUUACCUUCAGAAGAAGAACCGGCUAACUCCGUGCCAGCAGCCGCGGUAAUACGGAGGGUGCAAGCGGUAAUCGGAAUUACUGGGCGUAAAGCGCGCGUAGGCGGCUAGAUCAGUCGGGUGUGAAAGCCCCGGGCUUAACCUGGGAACUGCAUCCGAUACUGUCUAGCUUGAGUACAGGAGAGGAGAGUGGAAUUCCACAUGUAGCGGUGAAAUGCGUAGAUAUGUGGAGGAACACCAAUGGCGAAGGCAGCUCUCUGGCCUGAUACUGACGCUGAGGUGCGAAAGCGUGGGGAGCAAACAGGAUUAGAUACCCUUGUAGUC